GGAAAAAAAAAAAUUAAAGAUAAAACCUAAGGAAACAAAACUCUUAUCUUUUUCGCCCUUCUCUAUCUGUGACGGCGUUCUACCAAAGCUCUGUCUCUAAGGCUCCUCUGAAUCUCCCAUCUUUGAAGUUCUCAUCUCUGCUAGGUUAUUCGUUGCUGUUCCAAUUAUUGAAAUUUUUGGAUUCGAUACAGCUCGAUUGAUCAAAGCACCAACCAUCGCAUUCUUUGCUCUGUUAAAGGGUUAAGCAACAGGUCAAUUGCAUUGCACUUGAUUUACUGUGCGCCAUGAGUUAACGAAUGCAGAGAAAUUUUAUUUUAUUUUUAUUUUUUCACCUUAAAUAGCAUCAUGAUGAAUUAAAUUCUGAUCAGCUUUAUUGUUGCCUUCGUUGAGUACUCCAAUUGAUGGGCUGGUCAAAUAUCUCUUUGAAUUCAAUUCUUCUGAAUACUUAGACUGUGGGUUGCAGGUUUCUGUUUGGGAUUUCACUCUCUGAUAGGCCUGUGUGGCAACAAUUCAUUAUUUGCUCUUCUGGGUUGUUCUUUGGCUACCUUGUCAAUUGUGUCUGUGAGAAGUAAAGGCAGCAAAUUAAAAAUAGAGAAACAAAAAAGAAUAGUCUACUUAAUUGCGAGGUGUUAAGGGGUUUUGUUCUAUAGGUGAGAGUCACUUCGUCUUUCUUGCAAAUUGUAGAAUUGUUAAUUCAUGGGCAUUAAGAACAACAGUAGAUGAACUGGAUAAACUAAUAUGUUCUCACCUUAUUUGCUGAUGCAUGACUUUCAGAUUAGGUGGCUUUCUAUUGGACUUCUUAUUUGCUCAUAAAAAGUGCUGCGCAAAACAGUGGAUUGCUAUCUUACACAUUUUUGAAGACCACAGGAAAGAAGACAUUUAUUUUUGAUUUUGAAUUGUUGAGAGCACAAGGAUCGCUAAGUUGGUUUUGUUAUUGGUUUUAGACUAUUUUUGUUACUCCUUAGGUUAGGAAACACUUUGAUUGUUACUUUGGUUUUAUUAUUAUGAGAUUUA
This is a long non-coding RNA of Rosa chinensis, 1014 nucleotides long. RefSeq lists it as uncharacterized. Lineage: Eukaryota; Viridiplantae; Streptophyta; Magnoliopsida; Rosales; Rosaceae. The record is from RefSeq and is a predicted model, not a curated record. The transcript has 4 exons.